UGGGGAAUUUUGGACAAUGGGGGAAACCCUGAUCCAGCAAUGCCGCGUGAAUGAAGAAGGCCUUCGGGUUGUAAAGUUCUUUUGUUAGGGACGAUUAUGACGGUACCUAACGAAUAAGCUCCGGCUAACUUCGUGCCAGCAGCCGCGGUAAUACGAAGGGGGCUAGCGUUGUUCAGAAUUACUGGGCGUAAAGGGCGCGUAGGCGGUCUUUCAAGUCAGAUGUGAAAGCCCUGGGCUUAACCUAGGAUGUGCAUUUGAGACUGAAAAACUUGAGAUCGAAAGAGGAGAGUGGAAUUGCGAGUGUAGAGGUGAAAUUCGUAGAUAUUCGCAAGAACACCGGUGGCAAAGGCGACUCUCUGGUUCGAUACUGACGCUAAGGCGCGAAAGCGUGGGGAGCAAACAGG
Molecule: ribosomal RNA, 404 nt
Filed under: uncultured bacterium
Lineage: Bacteria
Description: bacterial SSU rRNA
Rfam family: Bacterial small subunit ribosomal RNA
Source: RNAcentral